Molecule: long non-coding RNA, 273 nt
Filed under: Oreochromis niloticus (Nile tilapia)
Lineage: Eukaryota; Metazoa; Chordata; Actinopteri; Cichliformes; Cichlidae
Description: lncRNA (ENSONIG00000034386.1)
Source: RNAcentral
GCAGGAAAUGCAAAUUUUUCUAGUUUUUCUAGUUCUUUAUUAUUCUUCUAGUUGCUUCCGUACGUUUUUUGGCACUUAACUACUCCCUCAGUUUUUAUCCGAUUUUCGCCAUUCAAACUUUAAAAAAUUCUGCUAUUUCUGCUAAUGCGGGCUAUGACUUUUGGUGCUCAUAACUUCUAUACUUUUUGAGAUAUUGAAUUUUUUUUUGCAAUAUUUUUUGCCCAUUUCUGCCAUAUUAUCAGUGGCCUAACUGAUUUUCCUUGCCGGGAUGAC